This 839-nucleotide ribosomal RNA is filed under the name uncultured eukaryote. Its description in RNAcentral is "SSU rRNA". It matches the Rfam family "Eukaryotic small subunit ribosomal RNA", at positions 635 to 1426 of the family's 1831-position model. The record is from RNAcentral.
CGGUGUUCAACUGGCGUGCCCGCGGGACGUCCUGCCGGUGAGCUCAGCCCGCGAGGGCGGCUCAACUUGAAAUCCCAUCGCGGUGCUCUUCAUUGAGUGUCGAGGUGGGUCGGCACGAUUACUUUUGAACAAAUUAGAGUGCUUAAAGCAGGCUAAAAUUUUGCCUGAAUACUGUGUAUAUGGAAUAAUGGAAUAGGACCUCGGUUCUAUUUUGUUGGUUUUCGGAACCCCGAGGUAAUGAUUAAUAGGAACGGAUGGGGGCAUUCGUAUUGCGACGUUAGAGGUGAAAUUCUUGGAUCGUCGCAAGACGGACUAAAGCGAAAGCAUUUGCCAAAAACGCUUUCAUUGAUCAAGAACGAAAGUUAGAGGUUCGAAGGCGAUCAGAUACCGCCCUAGUUCUAACCAUAAACUAUGCCAGCUAGCGAUCCGCCGACGUCCCUCUGAUGACUCGGCGGGCAGCUUCCGGGAAACCAAAGCUUUUGGGUUCCGGGGGAAGUAUGGUUGCAAAGCUGAAACUUAAAGGAAUUGACGGAAGGGCACCACCAGGAGUGGAGCCUGCGGCUUAAUUUGACUCAACACGGGAAACCUCACCAGGCCCAGACACUGGAAGGAUUGACAGAUUGAGAGCUCUUUCUUGAUUCAGUGGGUGGUGGUGCAUGGCCGUUCUUAGUCGGUGGAGCGAUUUGUCAGGUUAAUUCCGAUAACGGACGAGACUCUGACCUGAUAACUAGACGCACUUGCGGCAUCUCAAAGGUCCGCCGGCGGCUGGCUUUGCGCCCGUCGUCGCGCGCGAUUUUUACUGCCGGCGUACAAUAAAUUCUUCUUAGAGGGACAAGUGG